Molecule: ribosomal RNA, 460 nt
Filed under: uncultured bacterium
Lineage: Bacteria
Description: partial 16S ribosomal RNA
Rfam family: Bacterial small subunit ribosomal RNA
Source: RNAcentral
CCUACGGGAGGCAGCAGUGAGGAAUAUUGGUCAAUGGGCGAGAGCCUGAACCAGCCAAGUCGCGUGAAGGAUGACGGCCCUACGGGCUGUAAACUUCUUUUGUCAGGGAGCAAUUGGGUCCACGCGUGGGCUUAGCGAGAGUACCUGAAGAAAAAGAAUCGGCAAACUCCGUGCCAGCCGCCGCGGAAAUACGGAGGAAGGGAGCGUGAUCCGGAUUGAUUGGGUUUAAAGGGAGCGUAGGCGGAAUAUCAGGUCAGCGGUAAAAAUUCGGGGCUCAACCGCGUCGUGCCGUUGAAACUGAUGUUCUUGAGUGCGCGAGAGGUAUGCGGAAUGCGAGGUGUAGCGGUGAAAUGCAUAGAUAUCACGCAGAACUCCGAUUGCGAAGGCAGCAUACCGGCGCCCAACUGACGCUGAAGCACGAAAGCGUGGGUAUCGAACAGGAUUAGAUACCCCGGUAGUC